CGGGGAACUUUGUGUGAGAUGAGCAACACCGAGCUGCGGCUGAGGAGCCGGCUGUUAGUAGUGAACAGAAUGAAUAACUGCUCCGGCCAGGAAUGUCCCGUGUAACCAGAUGUCAGAAAUAAAGAGGACAAAAAGCAGCAUUCCCAGUGAAAAGAUAUCUUCAUACACUGCCCUUGCCAUCAAUGGAUCAAAGAUUAAAAGAUCUUUAGCAGUGGAGGCUGAAAGAGGCUUGGCUGAGUGACAACAGAAAGGAUACCUGAAAGUGCAAUUUGGAAAGUGCAGGAAGGAUAUUGCAACGUUCUCACGUGUGUCCUGUACUCGUUUUCCUGCAGAGUGUUGGAAAUCUGUUUCAAAAUCUGUCACUUUGGCUGACCUUUGGGAAGCCUCCAUUGAUGUGUUCUGAUAGAGAAGAACAGCACUUUCUUACCUGACCGUGUAGGCUCGAAGAUAAUGCAAAGUGGUCCCAGUCACCCCUUUACUUUAGAAGAUGAUAAGAAACAGGAGUUGAAAUGGACAGAGAAGGCUGGCUAUACAAGAAAGCAAAGUUGGAUGGAGUGAUAAACAAUUGGAUCUGCACAGUUGGCAGCCAUCCUGGCAAAGAAGCCUGAAAGUGUCUGUGUAUAAAUAAGUGUAUGCAUGAUUCAGUGAAUGUGCAGUUAUUUUAAAUCUGCAUAAGUUCCCCUAAAUGUCUUCAAAUGAUUUUUGGUUUCUGGAGGUUGGGGAGGAUUGCAUUACUUAAUACAGGCCUCAGAGCAUGGAGCCAAAAAGCCAUUUUUGGUACAAAUCCAAAAUGGUUUCAAUAUGUGGUACUUCAAAUCUCUAUUCCAUGUUUUUUUAAUAUGUUUUUUUCUCCCCACCACCCAUAUAUCACAGGAUAAGUGCUCUUCUCCUGUAUAUUAGGGGACUUGGAGGGAGAUAUUUGCCAAGCUGGAAUUCAUCUUGACAAGUUUCAGUAAAUAAACAUUUCUUACUUUUCCAUUUUAGAGUUUGCUUUGAUUCAUCCUCUGGGGUGGCUUUUUCUUCCCACUCAACAUUGCUAAGAAAUUAUAUAGAAUUUUUCCUUUUAUCCACUUCUCUCAUCAUUACUUUCUUUCAGCAGAAUGACUCACUGCUGUUCUGGAUUCCCCAUGCAUGUCAUCACAACUCUGGGAACAAACUUGCUCUAACGUUAGCCUGACAUCAUCUUUAUUACGCUUUUACUCUCACUGACAUUAAACAUGAUGAGCCAAAGGAGACUAACUGUGUCUUGUCAUUUUAGCAACACUCAGGCAUUAUAUUUAGCAUACUUUCUACCAUGUUUCUCCUUUGACACCAUUCCUCUGCUGGGAAGACAGUACCGUAAGCCAGCUCUGUAGGUGUAGGCUUUUUUAGCUGGCUUCUGUUAGGAUUUAUAUCUAUCACAUUUUAGCUCAGAUGAUCUCAGAGCACCGAUGCACUUCUAUUAUCCUGAGUGAAAGAAAAUGUAUAAGUAAUGUGGUUCAAGGGAAACAUCACUGGUCUAGUGAGCAGGACUGUUUUACUUCUGUUGUCCCUGAGCUCCCUCAUCCCUGCGGUUUGGAGACCUAUGAGAUCUCCAUGAGUAGGAGCCAGCAGUUAUUCCAGUGGGACAAGAAGCCUUGCUUAUCUUUUGACUUCUCUAGGGGGGUCGCAGAGCUACAAAAUGCCUUUCACAAAAGGCCUUUCCCAGUGGUCCUAACAGUAUUUUACAGUAAAUGUCUGUAGUGUACUGUGUUACUAAUCCUGCGGCAACUCUUGAGGUUACAGAUCACUUCAAGCAGCUAACAGGAGAAGUUAAUGAAAAACAGCAAGGUAAGCACAUAAAGUGCUAGAAACUCAUAGUGAAACUAAAGGAUGUUUGGCUAUGAAUGGUGUAGAAGAGCAAAAGGCAUUGUACUGCAGUAAAACUUAAAGUUUGGGUGAAUUGCAGAGUGGGAUUUCCUUUCUUUCCACCAGAGCUCAAGCUCACACCAUCAUCAUCUCCUCCACCUCCAGACAGACUCCAGUGCUUUAUAAGGUGUUUUGAUAUGGCAUGGAAGAGGAGCUGAAUUAUUAUUAGCCGUGUUCUCACCCUAUCAUGUAAUAAAUGUUUGCUUAUGACCUGAGUGUCUAAACAAGCAAAACUUGGGCUUUGGUGCAGCUUCAGGAGUGCAACUCUAUCAAAUUUAGGUCCUUACUUGAAAGCCACUGUUUUCUUUGGCCAUAUUUUGACAUGACUAUGGCAAACAGUUCUGGUUAUUCUGUUCUCAGCCCUUUUUUUCAAGUGGGGUUCGAGUUUUUUCUUUUGUUAGGCCUUAUUGCUGACAGGAGACAAGUGUGUCCUAGGCCACCAAAUAUGUAUAUGGGUGUGAGGAAUCCUGAAUUCUGGUCACGGCCAAGCAAGUUCUGAUCAAGCAUGUAUAAGCAAUUACAACACUAUUUUUACUAAUCUGUCUCAGUGUUUUGCAACUGCCUGACCAUAUCCCAUACAGAGAAAUCAUCAUGACCUUGUGUGUAUUGGCCAACUCAUCAAGCGUUGAUUUGAUAACUUACCAAGGUAAGCAUCAAAACAGUUCAGGUGAGUACAUCUCUCUUCACUCUGCAUUGAGGAUGAGUGUGCCUUUGGUGCAGUGUCUCCUAGCACUUCCUGGUUUGUGACUGGCUGUUUUGCUCCUAACAUGCAUCUCACCUGCACUUGUACACCACAGAGACUUUACAUUAGUUUGAAUAACUGCUAUGUACAAAAAGCAAAAGAAGCUUGUUGCGUGUUGGGAUUUUUUUUUUUUUUUUUUUUUUUCCCCAUUAAAAUAUGUGACUUUUCAAUGAGGAAAAUAAACAGAAGGUCUCAAACUAAAAAUAAAAAUGGUAUUCCUAUAAAAAGACAAAAGAUUUCAAGAAAAAUAAACACUUCUUACUCCCACAUUUAUUUCAUCAAAAAUUUGAUCUUCUAUUUUUAAAGAUUUCAUCUCACUAUUUUUCACGUUUUAACCAAAAACAAAAAGGAAAGAAUUCCAUUAAGCAGUUUGUGAAGAAUUUUGCUGGGUAUCCUAAAGAUCCAAGUGCUUCAUUGUUCUCUCUUGACAACGUAUCAGCAGCAAUGAAACAAAAGGUUAAACAGACCUGCAUAGUGCUGAAGCCUAAACUUGUAUUUGGAAGGAGGACAAACGUGCCUUUGUAACCAUCACUCUUAAAAAUCAGUGGAGAUAAAAUAACAUUGGAAAUUUGUAAAGAUAUGAAAAUCAGUUUCACAGAUGUUUUUACUUAAUAGGGCUGCUCUGAAAGUAAUGCCUCCUACUUUAUUAGGUUGGCUCACAGUGACAGAGGCAGGUCUUGGUGAUAUGGCAAAAGAUGAACCUUCCCUGCCCAUAUUCCAUUGCAUUUUGUUGCCCUAUGCAGGCUCUACUGGUGCUGGCUAUGCUGAAAGAUUACAUUUUGUAGCUCUUUGUAUCUGUUCUAGUUUCCAUGGAAAUAAAUAGGAGACAUUGCUUUCAGAGUGGCACACUGAAACAGCUCUGCAUUGCUACAAGUAGAGGAGGAACUUGUGCUCUGUGUUGCAGAAAGCACUUGCUAACACCAGGAUUCAACUGUUCCUCCUGCGGAGUGCUGUGGUUUCUGGUGCUGCUUCUUGUUGGAAUGUUGUGUCAGGGUUGAAAGUAUUAUAAACAAUUUUAUCUUAAUUUAAGGUAUGGAAAAGGAUUCUAAAACAAAAGGAAAUUUGGGAGGUAUUUUGUAUUCUUUGAAGUUGAGAUGGAGAGGGAUCAAGCAACCUCCUUCCUUCCAUCCUCUCCUCUAUCAUUUCUAAUACUCAAAUCACAGCACUGUUACUGUCAUGCAGGAGCAUACUAGACACAGGAAAAUAAUCUCCUCUACGUCAAAGCCACAAAGCUCUCAUUACAAAUAAAACAAACUAGAAAAGUUCUGAGAAAAAUUCUUCUGGUAAGAAUUUUCCAGUACAGACAAAUGGGGACAUUUUGCUGCAGCACUGGGAUUUUCCUGGUUCUCCUGGCUGUCAGGCAGUCUGGGAGUUGCUUGCUGGCAGGGGUUCCAGCAGUUCAGUGGUGCAGCUCUGGAGCAGGUCAGGCAGGAAGAGCCUCCUAGGGCAGUACCCUUCCCAUCCUGGCUCCAGAGAUCUCAGCACUCACAGGAGUGAUGGUUUGGGGAAGCCUAGGAGAUGACCUGCUCCCACAUUGAAACUUUACUGCCUUUCAUAGAUAAUUAUGAAAUGCUUGGCUUUUGUUCCAAACUGGAACAGACCCAGAUUUCGAAACAUCAAAAUCCUAUGUGAAAGUCAGUCAGCUCUCUGCAAAGCUGAAACUAUGACCACAUCCUUCCCAUAUGCAGCACCUGCAUGAGAUUUUGGUGCUGAAAAUGUGGCAAUCCUGAUGAGGUUGUAUUCAGCACUCUGGGAGAUCAAUGUUUUGAAUACAGUGAUACUAUUAGAAGUACAGGCCUGCUUGAACUGAAUAGCUGCCGAAUUCCCUGAUGCUACAGAAAUUAAAAAGGAAGGUAUUAAAUAUUUGGUGGCAUUCAGUGUUAUAACUUGGAAUUUUCUGUCAUUUAAGGUUUAAGAUGUGCUUUGUGACAAAGAUUAAUAUGCAUUGAUUUCUCAUUGCCUUCAGAAAAUAAUGAUCAUGUGUGAAAUACAUAGACAGAAGGGGAUUUUUGACAUCUUCAAUAUGUGAACUUCUAACAAGAGAUUCUUAUCUCUCCUUAUAAGAAGUGACUUGUUGUAAGUAUCAUGUCAGCAAGGUAAUAAGCUAUUAGUACUACAUUCUUUUAAUAUAUUUUCAUGUCAGACUUUCAUUUAUCAUCCUCCAGUGGGCAAUGUGAAAUGAAUUGCUACUGCAUAAUUUAAUUGACAUGAAUUCAUAUUUCUCAAUGCUCAGGUCAACUUACACCAUUUGUACUGCUAUUCCCAUGGAACUGAACAAAGCUACACCUUUUAUACUUUCUUUACAAGGAGAGUGGUUAGGCCCUGGAACGGGCUGCCCAGGGAGGUUGUGGAUGCCCCGUCCUUGGACGUGUUUAAGGCCAGGUUGGACGGGGUCCUGGGCAACCUGAUCUGUGAGUCUGUGAUUCUGUGAUUCUUUUAUACACCCUUUAGCUUGCUCCUGCAGAUGGCUGCUAUUAUACAAAAAGAUCCCAAUGAAGAUUUCAUCCAGUCUGCUUGUUGAAUUCUAGGCAGAGGAAGUGAGCAGAAAUACUGUGAUACUCUUCAUUAUGAUAGUGAACACUUCAUAAGAUGGUAUGUGCGAGUACCUCUAAGCAGAAGCAGUCUGCAAUUAAGCAGUAUUGCAGUUCUAAGAAAGAAACCACGUCUUUUAUCUGUUUAUUUACUGCUUGUGGGAAGCUGAGACAGAAAAUGGUGUAGACAGAGCAGUGACAGCUUUGGUUGGUGGCCACUGUGGAGGAGACUGUGCUGAAGUUGGUUACAAUCCCUGAGGAAUUGAUUGCACUCUAAUUCAUGCAACUGCAAAGUCUUUAAAAUGAUACACAAAGUCUUGCAGGACGUCAAGGAACAUACCUUUACAGAAUAAUGGUGGUUUGGGGUAUUUUAAUCAUUCGAUCAAAUGCUAAAGAAAAGCCUUACAAUUCAAUUCAGUUUGGUAGAACAGAUCAAUGAUUCUAUAGGAAGAAACUCAACAAGAACUAAACAGUUGUAAAUAAUAGUUUCAAAUGUUGUCAUUUGAGCUUCAGUUUGCAUGUAAGUGCUUUUGUACCUGAUUUUACCUGGUCUGAUGGAAGAGUGCAACACCUUAGAUUUUUCUGUUUUGUUAUCAGGACUGUUACUUAAUACAGUAUCUUUGUACUUCUCUGAAGCCUAACAUGCAGCACCAAAUGUUAGUCUAUCUUCACAUGUGAAAGGACUUACGAGAUUCCUACCAAGGGAAUAUGAGAAAUCAAGCAAAUUUAUUUUGCUUAUUCAACAAAGCUACCAUAGAUACCACUUUUUGUAGCAUCUGCUGCUACAAAAAAGUUGGAGAUGUGCUUUGCUAUAUGUUACUGAUUUUCUGUACGUAUCUAAACAAUAGCAACAGCUUUACUCCACUCUGCUGCACCUCAGCUGGGGGUAUUCAGAAACAUUCUUAUUCCCAGAAUCAUUUCCUACCAUGGUGGCAUCAGUAACGUCUGUUCAGAGCCUGCAGUUGCUUCCUUCCUAUCUUAAAUAAAAUAUGUAGGAUACAGCUGAAAAUAGGCAUUGUUGGAAGACUGCAGGCAAAUAUACUCUCCUUUAUUGUGUUGCCUCUCUUCAAGAAGAUUUUGCAGUGCAGAUACAAUUCUCUUUCUGAACAUAACUUUUGGCUGGAAUACCAUGUUCUUUUACCAGGUUUCAAAGCAGCAAACCAGGAUGUAAGUAUGGAAGUUGCUUUCAGAUACCUGAGAAGUAAAGUACUCUCUGGUCAAUCAGUGACUCUUCUUAUUGAGCCUAAAGAGCAUGCAAGACAGUAACACUUCUGAAACGUAUGGAAAGCAUGCAUCCCAGAUGGGAAGGAAGCUGGAAUACUUAGUUGUACUCUGUAGGAAUAUGAAGUUAGAGUUUAUUAUGGAAAGAUCAGAAUCCUGAUAGAUUAGAAUCUGCAUUGUGAUAUGCUAUUUGAAACCCACUCUCACAAACCCCAUUGGAAAAACUCAAUCUUUUUGGAAGUAUACUGAACACAUGUAAAAUUUGUUUUUCUAGGGUGAUAAACAGCAGCAUUGUUACAAAGUUAUUUUCAUGUUUCCUUGUUACAUGACUAAGUUUUAAUGACUUUUCUUUUAUUCUUUGAAUGAGGCUUUCAUAUUUCUCAAGCUAUUUGAGAGCCUCCCACUCCUCCAGUCCUCAGAGCUUUGCAGCCGGCCUUACUCAGAGGACAUUCCAGUCUUGUCACUGCACAGCUGCACUUGGCAGCAAGCCCCCCAGGCAAGGCCUUUGCCAAAGCGGCACUCAGACCCCCCAAACACCCUCCUGAAAGAAUGGCCAAUAAUAUGACAUUUGUAUAACUGCUAAAUAUCUUUUUGCCUUAGAAUGAGUUUGUUUACUUCACUUAUAAAAUGUGUUAUAUCUGUGACGUAACUGGGUUUACGCUCAAAGCGUACUGUGCAAAGUAACACAUUGUCUUAUAUUUCACAGGCUGAUGGGUAGCAUAAGCUUAAAACACUGAGCUGCUGAUAAGUGACAUCCACUACAUUCUUUUUGUUGUAUGCCUGCUGUUUGGUCAGGGAGUUGCCUCCUUGGAACUCUUUACUUUCUAAGUUUUUAAGUGCUUGUCUUAAAGAUGAGCCAUGAAAAGAAACAGAAGGAUAAAAAGUAACAUACUUGAAAGAUAUUUUUUUCCUUUUCCUUACAUACUGAAAUUAACCUUGGUCAUUUCAUGUGAUUUCAUUUGAUUCCAGAUAGAGGAAAGCAGAAAGCUAUGUAUUUCUUUAGGCCUAUUCUAAACUUCAAAAUUCUCCAUUUUAUGUGGAUACUAGGAAGAAUUUGAUGCAGUUUGUAUGAAAUCAUAAUGAAUAAAUAAAUACGUAAGUAAAUAAGAAGUUAUGCUUGACUAAGCUAUGUUAGGCACAUCUCCUCUUCCUAAUUUUUCUCAUCCUCUAGGUUGGUAGUAUUUUGAACCAUAGUGCUAGGAAUUCUCCCUCCACAAAGGAAAAAUGCAAGUUAGAAGUAGUGGCGAUUAAACGUUAUGAAAAUACUUAAGGACAUUUCAACAGUGAGAUUUCAAAAUGUAUGUCAGAUUUUGCCUUUUUUUUUUUUUAAUACAAGUUAACUUUAUAUUUUAAAAUAAUCAUUUUGUUUUAAACUAAAUGCAGUGCUGGCUAAACUUGUCCAAAAAAACUCAGAAAUCCUUCCUGCACAUAGUAAGAACAGCACAUGGCAAUAGCAGGGUAAACUUGGCUCCUACCAGUAUUGUGUUGAGGGGGCAUAUCUAGGUCCAACUGAGCAAAGUCUCUCCAAGUACUUUCUAUGAGGAUUUGCUUAAAUUCCACAUAAAACUUUGCUGAGAGUAAAUCUGUCUAUGCCCAUUUGCACCUCAUUUUGGCUGUUUAUCUCUCCUGUAUGGAUUUUCUCCUUAUUACAUAUUGUGGAAUAGAAAUAAAUUUCUUCAAGGCAAAACUCAAAUUAAUUUUUUCAGAAAUAGAGCAAUUUUUAUUGUUUCCUUUAUUGUUUUAUAUUGUGAGUGUUUAUUUUAAAAAAUCUAAGUGGGAAUUCCAAACACUUGAACUACAAGCAAUUGUGGUAUGUUUUUUCAGUCACUUUUUCAGUAGUGCUCUUCUUCAGUUCUAAGCUUGAACCCAAGUGAAAGAACUUACAGUUGUAGGCAUAGUGGAAAUACUAAGUUGCAGCUUCAAAGAGUGAAUGAGCAGGUGGUGGGAAGGCAGGGCUAACCCAGGGCAGCUCAGCUGCAGGCGAUGCACCUGACUAACUGGAAGGGCUGGAGCCAGGAUUCUCCUCAUUAAAGACCUCAUUUAAGGGUUGGAGAUCCCUGUAUGCCUGAGAUCUUCUGAAGGUAAGUAGAUUCUUUUGUUUCUCUGUCUAUAGCUGUUGUAUUUGAGCAAGUUCUUGCUUGCUAUUGCCUAGGACUUUGCUAUUCUGCUGUUAUUGCUGUGCUUUCCAUUGUGUUAUGGUAGAUUUUUUUUUAUUGCUGUAGGCAAGUAGAUGAAAAAAAAUGUGCUAAUACCUGGGAAAACAAUCAGGCUUCUCAAGAAGUAAGCAGGCAUUUUGCAUCUGUUGCUUUAACCUAAAAAACUGAUUAUUUAU
Long non-coding RNA from Lagopus muta (rock ptarmigan), 8713 nucleotides. RefSeq lists it as uncharacterized. The record is from RefSeq and is a predicted model, not a curated record. Lineage: Eukaryota; Metazoa; Chordata; Aves; Galliformes; Phasianidae. The transcript is spliced from 6 exons.